GAUGAACGCUGGCGGCGUGCUUAACACAUGCAAGUCGAACGAUGAAGCCCAGCUUGCUGGGUGGAUUAGUGGCGAACGGGUGAGUAACACGUGAGUAACCUGCCCUUAACUCUGGGAUAAGCCUGGGAAACUGGGUCUAAUACCGGAUAGGAGCGUCCACCGCAUGGUGGGGGUUGGAAAGAUUUAUCGGUUUUGGAUGGACUCGCGGCCUAUCAGCUUGUUGGUGGGGGAAUGGCUCACCAAGGCGACGACGGGUAGCCGGCCUGAGAGGGUGACCGGCCACACUGGGACUGAGACACGGCCCAGACUCCUACGGGAGGCAGCAGUGGGGAAUAUUGCACAAUGGGCGCAGGCCUGAUGCAGCAACGCCGCGUGAGGGAUGACGGCCUUCGGGUUGUAAACCUCUUUCGGUAGGGAAGAAGCGAGAGUGACGGUACCUGCAGAAGAAGCACCGGCUAACUACGUG
RNAcentral lists this ribosomal RNA (466 nucleotides) under uncultured bacterium. Its description in RNAcentral is "partial 16S ribosomal RNA". It matches the Rfam family "Bacterial small subunit ribosomal RNA", at positions 28 to 507 of the family's 1533-position model. The record is from RNAcentral.